GAGAGAACCAGACAAACCUGAGGAGGGAGACGAACCAGGCGAUCGAGACCUGCCUGGGACUUGUCCCACCUGGAUAGAAGAAACAACUGAAGGUCCCGGGAGUGGAAUUGGGAAUAGGGAAUGGCUUCGAAGGAAGCCACCAUCCUCCCCAGGACGCGCAUACACGUCCUGAUAGUCAGGGUGGACGGGCC
Molecule: long non-coding RNA, 191 nt
Organism: Bufo bufo (common toad)
Lineage: Eukaryota; Metazoa; Chordata; Amphibia; Anura; Bufonidae
Exons: 4
Source: RefSeq, a predicted model, not a curated record